Molecule: ribosomal RNA, 254 nt
Filed under: uncultured bacterium
Lineage: Bacteria
Description: partial 16S ribosomal RNA
Rfam family: Bacterial small subunit ribosomal RNA
Source: RNAcentral
UACGUAGGAGGCGAGCGUUGUCCGGAAUUACUGGGUGUAAAGCGCGCGUAGGCGGUCUGUUGCGUAGGCGGUGAAAGCCCCCAGGCUCACCUUGGGGAGGUCCGUCUAAACGAGCAGACUGGAGGGCGGUAGGGGCUGGCGGAACGCCCGGAGUAGCGGUGAAAUGCGUUGAGAUCGGGCAGAACACCAGUGGCGAAGGCGGCCGGCUGGGCCGUACCUGACGCUGAGGCGCGAAAGCCAGGGGAGCGAACGGA